Molecule: long non-coding RNA, 1214 nt
Filed under: Homo sapiens (human)
Lineage: Eukaryota; Metazoa; Chordata; Mammalia; Primates; Hominidae
Description: HSALNT0144779
Source: RNAcentral
GUUGGGUCCCUGUUAUAAGCAAGUGCAAGGUCGUGGACUCAAAGUGAUCAGAGAACCAGAAUGGCUCAAUUCAGCAGAAGGACCACAGACUGAUGCCAAGCAGAUGUGACUUCACAUGCUGGGGUUGACAGACUGAUGCCAAACAGACGUGACUUCACAUGCUGGUGUUGACGUGUAUUCAUGACAUUUGAGACUCAGUUCUCUUUUUUCUAAAAGAGGAUGACAAGUUCUUACCUGUGUGGUUGUUGGGAGGAUUAAAAUUUUGGGCCUAGUGCCUAACAAAGUACUGAGCAAAUGUUAGCUAUUGCUGAUGCUGUUCUACUGUAACUGUGAGUUUUAACUUAUGAAGAUGAUGGCAAUGAUAAAGUCUGGCCAAUAGUCCUGGGCAGAGUGGGCCAAGUCCAUCAGACCGGCAAAGGCUGGGGCCAGGGAUGCAAGGAGCUCCAGCGGACCCUUUCCAGGAGUUUAGCCUUCGAUUCUAGGAAAUGCAAUAAAGUAAGCCCAGGACAGAUGCUGGCGUCGGGCUGCCGUAGGGUGAGCAGACGAGUCAUCCUGGCUUAGAGGGAUGUGGAGGGUGGAUUCCACUGGGCUAUAAAAUCUAUGAGUAGAAAGAGGCGUGGGCUGGUUUUGUUGCCUUUUCUAAAUUGUGCUGUUUGCACUGAGUUCUGUUUCAGUGAAUCCUGAGAGAGCCUCUGUCUAGAGACCAGAGUGAGACGAUGGAGGAGGUGGGAGGUAGAGGCCCCGCGGCCGCCUCUUCCUGGGCCUGCAGCGCCCUCUUGUGGCUCAGAGCCAGAGCAUCCACUCCAGGAUUCUGCAGGUGCUGCUGCAGAAGGGGUGCUCCUGGGCUUCCCACCCUCCUAGGGGCUGUGCUGUGUGGCUUCUCUUUGGAACCCGGAGCCCUGAGAGAGAAGGAAGAGGAGGGAAGACCUCCCGUCGUGUUCCAAGAUGGGCGCCUGUGAUGGACCUCAGGUGUGCUAACUGGCCAGAUGACCUGCAAUUAUCUGCCUAGGCUCUUUGAGCCUGGGUCCUCAUAGCUGUGUUAUGAGAUGAAAGAAGGCAGACAGUGUACCUGGAAGCACCUUGUUUUCUGACACCCAGUAGUUUCACAUUAAAAAUUAGUUAUCUUGCCUUCAAUAUUUUCCUUUCUCUGCUAGAUAAAAUUGCUAAAAUCCAGAGAAGUGAGCCUUCUGUUCUUUUAAUAGAUGCUAGUCCAG